CAGAGCACCUUGGUUCAAAGGAUAGAGGAGGAGCAGAUAAGUGGGCCACAGUUAAACUUUUUCCCAUAAAAGAAUUAAAAUAUUUAAAUAAUGGACAAAUGCCCUAAGUUAUUUUGCUUUUUUAUUUUUGUGCUUUUAGUGGACUGUCACCUUUACUUACACGUAGCUGAUUCUGCACCCAUAAAACUCCAUGGAUUGCCAAAUGAAUCAAAUGAAAACAACGAAGCAUAUCAACACAAUGAAUAUCCAUCAAAAUAUUCAGGUAUAAUGAAAAACAAGAGUACCACCUCCAAGAUGAAAGUCGAGCAAGACAAUGAUAUAGCAUAUGCUAUACCUAAAAGAUACAUCAAAUGGAAUAUAAGGAAUAUGGAUUUAUAAAACUCAAUCCAUAGUUUCCCUUUCAUAUACAACCACACAACCGGAAACAAUAAAUGCAUCAUGUAAUCAGAAAAGUAUGGCCACUAUUUUUUC
Herpailurus yagouaroundi (jaguarundi) is the source of this 471-nucleotide long non-coding RNA. RefSeq lists it as uncharacterized. The transcript is spliced from 3 exons. The record is from RefSeq and is a predicted model, not a curated record. Lineage: Eukaryota; Metazoa; Chordata; Mammalia; Carnivora; Felidae.